UUUUUGAGAGCUAGAUAUUUAGCAAUAAACUUUUAAUUUAUUUAUAUAGAAUUUUCUAUUC
Molecule: transfer RNA, 61 nt
Filed under: Gyraulus sp. GE1
Lineage: Eukaryota; Metazoa; Mollusca; Gastropoda; Planorbidae
Description: tRNA-Lys
Source: RNAcentral